UCGUAAAGGGGGAUGAGUGGUGUUUGGUUUGUCACGUGUGGUUGGCUGCGGCGUUUGCAACAACUUCCAUGCUUUCAGACCUCUUCAGUUGUGCGKCAAGGCUUGUAUCGCCUUGCCGUAUUGYGGGUUUUCUGUGUUGAAUACCUAAUCAAUGGUAUCGGUUGGAUUGAUCAAUGUUUCAUUUCGUCUSUCGUUGCAUUCGCGGCGUGAGACGAACCUCGAUGCGGUCUCUUUGGUCCACCUCGUCGAAGCACAUGCUUUGACGUUGUGGCACAUUGAGCAUUGCUUGGUCUCUUGUAUACGGAACAUACAGUGGGCAUGGAUCUAACGAUUCUUSUUUGCCCUCAUGUUAGCGUAACGCUUCUCUUACACGACUUGCUCCACGUUUUAGCUCGUACGGACGUGGUGCUAUGUCGAAGAGGAAAUGCUACCUGGUUGAUCCUGCCAGUAGUCAUAUGCUUGUCUCAAAGAUUAAGCCAUGCAKGGUUGUUAA
This 493-nucleotide unclassified non-coding RNA is filed under the name Artemisia verlotiorum. RNAcentral describes it as "partial external transcribed spacer". The stretch from base 429 to 493 matches the Rfam family "Eukaryotic small subunit ribosomal RNA", at positions 1 to 65 of the family's 1831-position model. Lineage: Eukaryota; Viridiplantae; Streptophyta; Magnoliopsida; Asterales; Asteraceae. The record is from RNAcentral.